GACGAACGCUGGCGGCGUGCUUAACACAUGCAAGUCGAACGGUCUCCAUCCCGUGGCAACACGGGGGAAGAGAUAGUGGCGAACGGGUGAGUAACACGUGAGAAACCUGUCCUGGUCUCUGGGAUAACAGUCGGAAACAACUGCUAAUACCGGAUGCCGUCGGAGCGUCGCAUGGCGCGCUGACGAAAGGGUUACUGGAUCAGGAGGGUCUCGCGGCCUAUCAGCUUGUUGGUGGGGUAACGGCCUACCAAGGCAUCGACGGGUAGCUGGUCUGAGAGGAUGAUCAGCCACACUGGGACUGAGACACGGCCCAGACUCCUACGGGAGGCAGCAGUGGGGAAUCUUGCGCAAUGGGCGAAAGCCUGACGCAGCAACG
This 376-nucleotide ribosomal RNA is filed under the name uncultured bacterium. RNAcentral's name for it is "bacterial SSU rRNA". It matches the Rfam family "Bacterial small subunit ribosomal RNA", at positions 28 to 396 of the family's 1533-position model. The record is from RNAcentral.